GACGAACGCUGGCGGCGUGCUUAACACAUGCAAGUCGAACGGAAAGGCCUCUUUCGGGGGGUACUCGAGUGGCGAACGGGUGAGUAACACGUGAGUAACCUGCCCUUGACUUUGGGAUAACUUCAGUAAACUGGGGCUAAUACCGGAUAGGAGCUCCUGCUGCAUGGUGGGGGUUGGAAAGUUUCGGCGGUUGGGGAUGGACUCGCGGCUUAUCAGCUUGUUGGUGGGGUAGUGGUUUACCAAGGCUUUGACGGGUAGCCGGCCUGAGAGGGUGACCGGCCACAUUGGGACUGAGAGACGGCCCAGACUCCUACGGGAGGCAGAAGUGGGGAAGAUUGCACAAGGGGUGGAAGCCUGAUGCAGCAACGCCGUGGGCGGGAGGACGGCCUUCGGGUUGGAAUCCGCUUUCGCUCAUGACGAAGCUUUGUGUGACGGUAGUGGGUAAAGAAGCACCGGCUAACUACGUG
This 467-nucleotide ribosomal RNA is filed under the name uncultured bacterium. Its description in RNAcentral is "partial 16S ribosomal RNA". It matches the Rfam family "Bacterial small subunit ribosomal RNA", at positions 28 to 507 of the family's 1533-position model. The record is from RNAcentral.